Molecule: ribosomal RNA, 396 nt
Filed under: uncultured bacterium
Lineage: Bacteria
Description: partial 16S ribosomal RNA
Rfam family: Bacterial small subunit ribosomal RNA
Source: RNAcentral
CCUACGGGUGGCAGCAGUGAGGAAUAUUGGUCAAUGGGCGCGAGCCUGAACCAGCCAAGUCGCGUGAGGGAAGACGGUCCUAUGGAUUGUAAACCUCUUUUGUCGGGGAGCAAAAGACGCCACGCGUGGCGUUCCGCGAGUACCAGAAGAAAAAGCAUCGGCUAACUCCGUGCCAGCAGCCGCGGUAAUACGGAGGAUCCGAGCGUUAUCCGGAUUUAUUGGGUUUAAAGGGUGCGAAGGCGGAAGAUCAAGUCAGCGGUAAAAUUGGGGGGCUCAACCUCUUAGAGCCGUUGAAACUGGUUUUCUUGAGUGAGGGAGAGGUAGGCGGAAUGCGUGGUGUAGCGGUGAAAUGCAUAGAUAUCACGAAGAACUCCGAUUGCGAAGGCAGCAUACCGG